AGAGUUUGAUCAUGGCUCAGGAUGAAUGCUGGCGGCGUGCCUAACACAUGCAAGUCGAGCGGCAGCGAGGGGUGCUUGCACCCUGUCGGCGAGCGGCGAACGGCUGAGUAACGCGUAGGAAUUUGCCCCAAAGUGAGGAAUAACUGCCCGAAAGGGUAGCUAAUGCCGCAUAUGGUCUUCGGAUUAAAGGAUUUAUCCGCUUUGGGAGAAGCCUGCGUUGGAUUAGGUUGUUGGUAGGGUAAUGGCCUACCAAGCCGACGAUCCAUAGCUGGUCUGAGAGGAUGAUCAGCCAGACUGGAACUGAGACACGGUCCAGACUCCUACGGGAGGCAGCAGUGAGGAAUCUUCCACAAUGGGCGAAAGCCUGAUGGAGCAACGCCGCGUGAAGGAUGAAGGCCUUCGGGUUGUAAACUUCUUUUAUGAGUGAAGAAUAUGACGGUAACUCAUGAAUAAGCACCGGCUAACUACGUGCCAGCAGCCGCGGUCAUACGUAGGGUGCAAGCAUUAUCCGGAGUGACUGGGCGUAAAGAGUUGCGUAGGCGGUUUAAUAAGUGAAUAGUGAAACCUGGUGGCUCAACCAUACAGACUAUUAUUCAAACUGUUAAACUCGAGAAUGGUAGAGGUAACUGGAAUUUCUUGUGUAGGAGUGAAAUCCGUAGAUAUAGGAAGGAACACCAAUGGCGUAGGCAGGUUACUGGGCCAUUUCUGACGCUAAGGCACGAAAGCGUGGGGAGCGAACCGGAUUAGAUACCCCGGUAGUCCAA
Molecule: ribosomal RNA, 764 nt
Filed under: uncultured bacterium
Lineage: Bacteria
Description: bacterial SSU rRNA
Rfam family: Bacterial small subunit ribosomal RNA
Source: RNAcentral